AACGAACGCUGGCGGCAGGCCUAACACAUGCAAGUCGAACGCCCCGCAAGGGGAGUAGCAGACGGGUGAGUAACACGUGGGAACCUUCCCUAUACUACGGAAUAGCCCAGGGAAACUUGGAGUAAUACCGUAUACGCCAGAGAGGGGAAAGAUUUAUCGGUAUAGGAUGGGCCCGCGUAGGAUUAGCUAGUUGGUGAGGUAAUGGCUCACCAAGGCGACGAUCCUUAGCUGGUCUGAGAGGACGACCAGCCACACUGGGACUGAGACACGGCCCAGACUCCUACGGGAGGCAGCAGUGGGGAAUAUUGGACAAUGGGCGCAAGCCUGAUCCAGCCAUGCCGCGUGAGUGAUGAAGGCCUUAGGGUUGUAAAGCUCUUUUGCCGGGGACGAUAAUGACGGUACCCGGAGAAUAAGUCCCGGCUAACUUCGUGCCAGCCGCCGCCGUAA
This 447-nucleotide ribosomal RNA is filed under the name uncultured bacterium. RNAcentral's name for it is "partial 16S ribosomal RNA". It matches the Rfam family "Bacterial small subunit ribosomal RNA", at positions 29 to 523 of the family's 1533-position model. The record is from RNAcentral.